AACGAACGCUGGCGGCGUGCCUAACACAUGCAAGUCGAACGAGAAAGUUUCCUUCGGGAAAUCAGUAAAGUGGCGCAAGGGUGAGUAACACGUGAAUAAUCUGCCUACGAAUUCGGGAUAACUCGGCGAAAGUUGUGCUAAUACCGAAUAAGACCACGUCUCUUAUGUGAUGUGGCCAAAGGAGUCUCAAACUCCGUUUGUAGAUGAGUUCGCGCACCAUUAGCUUGUUGGCGGGAUAACAGCCCACCAAGGCUACGAUGGUUAGCCGACCUGAGAGGGUGAUCGGCCACACUGGAACUGAGACACGGUCCAGACUCCUACGGGAGGCAGCAGUGGGGAAUAUUGCGCAAUGGGCGAAAGCCUGACGCAGCAACGCCGUGUGAGGGAUG
RNAcentral lists this ribosomal RNA (389 nucleotides) under uncultured Nitrospina sp. Its description in RNAcentral is "bacterial SSU rRNA". It matches the Rfam family "Bacterial small subunit ribosomal RNA", at positions 29 to 410 of the family's 1533-position model. The record is from RNAcentral. Lineage: Bacteria; Pseudomonadati; Nitrospinota; Nitrospinia; Nitrospinales; Nitrospinaceae.